UUCCCGGGUCUUGUACACACCGCCCGUCACACCACGAAAGUCGGCAAUACCCGAAGCCGGUGGCCUAACCCGCAAGGGAGGGAGCCGUCGAAGGUAGGGUUGAUGAUUGGGGUG
This 114-nucleotide ribosomal RNA is filed under the name uncultured bacterium. RNAcentral describes it as "partial 16S ribosomal RNA". It matches the Rfam family "Bacterial small subunit ribosomal RNA", at positions 1371 to 1482 of the family's 1533-position model. The record is from RNAcentral.